GACGAACGCUGGCGGCGUGCCUAAUACAUGCAAGUAGAACGCUGAAGGAGGAGCUUGCUUCUCUGGAUGAGUUGCGAACGGGUGAGUAACGCGUAGGUAACCUGCCUGGUAGCGGGGGAUAACUAUUGGAAACGAUAGCUAAUACCGCAUAAUAGUAGAUGUUGCAUGACAUUUGCUUAAAAGGUGCAAUUGCAUCACUACCAGAUGGACCUGCGUUGUAUUAGCUAGUUGGUGAGGUAACGUCUCACCAAGGCAACGAUACAUAGCCGACCUGAGAGGGUGAUCGGCCACACUGGGACUGAGACACGGCCCAGACUCCUACGGGAGGCAGCAGUAGGGAAUCUUCGGCAAUGGACGGAAGUCUGACCGAGCAACGCCGCGUGAGUGAAGAAGGUUUUCGGAUCGUAAAGCUCUGUUGUAAGAGAAGAACGAGUGUGAGAGUGGAAAGUUCACACUGUGACGGUAUCUUACCAGAAAGAGACGGCUAACUACGUG
This 495-nucleotide ribosomal RNA is filed under the name uncultured bacterium. RNAcentral describes it as "partial 16S ribosomal RNA". It matches the Rfam family "Bacterial small subunit ribosomal RNA", at positions 28 to 507 of the family's 1533-position model. The record is from RNAcentral.